Molecule: ribosomal RNA, 2923 nt
Filed under: Escherichia coli O157:H7 str. 1044
Lineage: Bacteria; Pseudomonadati; Pseudomonadota; Gammaproteobacteria; Enterobacterales; Enterobacteriaceae
Description: LSU rRNA
Rfam family: Bacterial large subunit ribosomal RNA
Source: RNAcentral
GGUUAAGCGACUAAGCGUACACGGUGGAUGCCCUGGCAGUCAGAGGCGAUGAAGGACGUGCUAAUCUGCGAUAAGCGUCGGUAAGGUGAUAUGAACCGUUAUAACCGGCGAUUUCCGAAUGGGGAAACCCAGUGUGUUUCGACACACUAUCAUUAACUGAAUCCAUAGGUUAAUGAGGCGAACCGGGGGAACUGAAACAUCUAAGUACCCCGAGGAAAAGAAAUCAACCGAGAUUCCCCCAGUAGCGGCGAGCGAACGGGGAGCAGCCCAGAGCCUGAAUCAGUGUGUGUGUUAGUGGAAGCGUCUGGAAAGGCGCGCGAUACAGGGUGACAGCCCCGUACACAAAAAUGCACAUACUGUGAGCUCGAUGAGUAGGGCGGGACACGUGGUAUCCUGUCUGAAUAUGGGGGGACCAUCCUCCAAGGCUAAAUACUCCUGACUGACCGAUAGUGAACCAGUACCGUGAGGGAAAGGCGAAAAGAACCCCGGCGAGGGGAGUGAAAAAGAACCUGAAACCGUGUACGUACAAGCAGUGGGAGCCUCUUUUAUGGGGUGACUGCGUACCUUUUGUAUAAUGGGUCAGCGACUUAUAUUCUGUAGCAAGGUUAACCGAAUAGGGGAGCCGAAGGGAAACCGAGUCUUAACCGGGCGUUAAGUUGCAGGGUAUAGACCCGAAACCCGGUGAUCUAGCCAUGGGCAGGUUGAAGGUUGGGUAACACUAACUGGAGGACCGAACCGACUAAUGUUGAAAAAUUAGCGGAUGACUUGUGGCUGGGGGUGAAAGGCCAAUCAAACCGGGAGAUAGCUGGUUCUCCCCGAAAGCUAUUUAGGUAGCGCCUCGUGAAUUCAUCUCCGGGGGUAGAGCACUGUUUCGGCAAGGGGGUCAUCCCGACUUACCAACCCGAUGCAAACUGCGAAUACCGGAGAAUGUUAUCACGGGAGACACACGGCGGGUGCUAACGUCCGUCGUGAAGAGGGAAACAACCCAGACCGCCAGCUAAGGUCCCAAAGUCAUGGUUAAGUGGGAAACGAUGUGGGAAGGCCCAGACAGCCAGGAUGUUGGCUUAGAAGCAGCCAUCAUUUAAAGAAAGCGUAAUAGCUCACUGGUCGAGUCGGCCUGCGCGGAAGAUGUAACGGGGCUAAACCAUGCACCGAAGCUGCGGCAGCGACACUGUGUGUUGUUGGGUAGGGGAGCGUUCUGUAAGCCUGUGAAGGUGUACUGUGAGGUAUGCUGGAGGUAUCAGAAGUGCGAAUGCUGACAUAAGUAACGAUAAAGCGGGUGAAAAGCCCGCUCGCCGGAAGACCAAGGGUUCCUGUCCAACGUUAAUCGGGGCAGGGUGAGUCGACCCCUAAGGCGAGGCCGAAAGGCGUAGUCGAUGGGAAACAGGUUAAUAUUCCUGUACUUGGUGUUACUGCGAAGGGGGGACGGAGAAGGCUAUGUUGGCCGGGCGACGGUUGUCCCGGUUUAAGCGUGUAGGCUGGUUUUCCAGGCAAAUCCGGAAAAUCAAGGCUGAGGCGUGAUGACGAGGCACUACGGUGCUGAAGCAACAAAUGCCCUGCUUCCAGGAAAAGCCUCUAAGCAUCAGGUAACAUCAAAUCGUACCCCAAACCGACACAGGUGGUCAGGUAGAGAAUACCAAGGCGCUUGAGAGAACUCGGGUGAAGGAACUAGGCAAAAUGGUGCCGUAACUUCGGGAGAAGGCACGCUGAUAUGUAGGUGAAGUCCCUCGCGGAUGGAGCUGAAAUCAGUCGAAGAUACCAGCUGGCUGCAACUGUUUAUUAAAAACACAGCACUGUGCAAACACGAAAGUGGACGUAUACGGUGUGACGCCUGCCCGGUGCCGGAAGGUUAAUUGAUGGGGUCAGCGCAAGCGAAGCUCUUGAUCGAAGCCCCGGUAAACGGCGGCCGUAACUAUAACGGUCCUAAGGUAGCGAAAUUCCUUGUCGGGUAAGUUCCGACCUGCACGAAUGGCGUAAUGAUGGCCAGGCUGUCUCCACCCGAGACUCAGUGAAAUUGAACUCGCUGUGAAGAUGCAGUGUACCCGCGGCAAGACGGAAAGACCCCGUGAACCUUUACUAUAGCUUGACACUGAACAUUGAGCCUUGAUGUGUAGGAUAGGUGGGAGGCUUUGAAGUGUGGACGCCAGUCUGCAUGGAGCCGACCUUGAAAUACCACCCUUUAAUGUUUGAUGUUCUAACGUGGACCCGUGAUCCGGGUUGCGGACAGUGUCUGGUGGGUAGUUUGACUGGGGCGGUCUCCUCCUAAAGAGUAACGGAGGAGCACGAAGGUUGGCUAAUCCUGGUCGGACAUCAGGAGGUUAGUGCAAUGGCAUAAGCCAGCUUGACUGCGAGCGUGACGGCGCGAGCAGGUGCGAAAGCAGGUCAUAGUGAUCCGGUGGUUCUGAAUGGAAGGGCCAUCGCUCAACGGAUAAAAGGUACUCCGGGGAUAACAGGCUGAUACCGCCCAAGAGUUCAUAUCGACGGCGGUGUUUGGCACCUCGAUGUCGGCUCAUCACAUCCUGGGGCUGAAGUAGGUCCCAAGGGUAUGGCUGUUCGCCAUUUAAAGUGGUACGCGAGCUGGGUUUAGAACGUCGUGAGACAGUUCGGUCCCUAUCUGCCGUGGGCGCUGGAGAACUGAGGGGGGCUGCUCCUAGUACGAGAGGACCGGAGUGGACGCAUCACUGGUGUUCGGGUUGUCAUGCCAAUGGCACUGCCCGGUAGCUAAAUGCGGAAGAGAUAAGUGCUGAAAGCAUCUAAGCACGAAACUUGCCCCGAGAUGAGUUCUCCCUGACCCUUUAAGGGUCCUGAAGGAACGUUGAAGACGACGACGUUGAUAGGCCGGGUGUGUAAGCGCAGCGAUGCGUUGAGCUAACCGGUACUAAUGAACCGUGAGGCUUAACCUUACAACGCCGAAGGUGUUUUG